Long non-coding RNA from Capra hircus (goat), 1900 nucleotides. NCBI's taxonomy places the organism in Eukaryota, Metazoa, Chordata, Mammalia, Artiodactyla, Bovidae. The record is from Ensembl.
GAGGCUCUUGUAUGCAAUGGAAGGAGUUAGGAUUUCUUUUUUUUUUUUUUAAUAGCAGGUAGAAGGUGGUGAUCUUGAGUGAUUUUAAAGCCACGUGAUUUGAUUUCCAUAAGUGGAUGUUAGAAGGCCAAGGAAGGGAAGCCUGGGGGCAGGGAAGCCAGUUCAAGGAACUGGAGGAGCUGGCAGAAUCCAAGGAGGCAAAAUCUCAGAUGUCACUGAGGACUUCUUUUGGCCUUGGCCACGAAAGCAAUGUGUCAGAGAAGCAACGCUCUGAUGGCCACGCUGGGCGACUCCAUCAUCCUCUUAGCUACUUGAUGCCGCCUCUGUGCGUUUGGUUGCAGCGUUGAUAUCACAGCCAUCAUGAUUCAGCACAAGGAGAGAGAAAUGCUAGAGCUGGAUGAAUAGAGAAGAAGAAACAUCAGCUAUGUGGAUUUCCUAAAACAUUUUCCCCUGAGUUGAACUUCACAUCUCUUCUUGCUCAGCAUAGAAUGAAUCAAUCCUCCUGAAAGGCAGCCUGGAGAAAGGGAGUGUGACACGUGAGAAGGGUCUCAUUGGACCCGCUCUCCCAAAUGCACCCAUCAGCUGAGUCUUCUCCUUCCAUGAAGAAGAGCACGAAAAAGGAGAGGAUGCUGAUUCUUUUAGGGUAAGAAUUUCUUUUCAUAAAAAGAACCCAGAGGAGUGGGAGGUAAGUGGACCCCAUUAGAAAUAUUUUGAUUUAAUCCCAUAGGGGAUUCCUGAGUCAAAGGGUGAAUGUAAUUUUAUGGCAUGGUGACCAAAUUUCUUUCCAAGAGAGCUGUACAUCUGUAUACUCCUACCAACCAUGAAUGAACACUGCCCAAAUUUCAGACUAGUCAAAUUGCAUAAAUACCUGGACAGGUGUACUUAACAUAAUUGUAUUUCAAUAAUAAGACCACUGAGCAGAAAUUGUUGACCAUUUCCUGGAGAGCUUGCCAGAACCCAACCAAUCAAAAUGGGUGUUAGCAUCAUUAUACAGAGCGUUGGGGGCUGCCUGAACUGAAUCAGGUACCAGUUGGAAAGCAUGAAAUUACUGACUUUGUUUAAAUCUAACUGCAAUUUAUCUGUAAGAACAGUACUGAAAGGUGACAUUUGUCUUGGUGAGUUUCCCAUUCAUUUCCGGAGCUGGAGUUCAUCAGUCAUGCAGCUCAAGUGCAUGAUACAUGCAGAUGAAUAUUUAUUAUAGAUGAUGGAGUAUCCUUCUGGCAACAUAAUACACUUCAUUCACUUGGAAAGGGAAUUCAAACAGAUCCAUGAUAGACUGCUGGAACUGGAGGGGCCUUUCACCUCCCUUCAGGAGAGAUCGGUGGAGAAUCUGCUGUUUUGGUGAAGAGAGAGUCCACUUGGUUAGUGUUCACAUGUGAACUGUUUUUAAAGCAUUCUGACUGGUUAAAUUUAGUUAAAUACAUCCUAUUGAAAGAUAGUUACUAUCUCAAAAAUAAUUCAUUGAGUGGAUGGAAAAUCCGGCUAUACACCUGAAUUCAGCCAAUAGAUUGAAGCAUAUUGGCUGUUUGAAUGCCACCCGACUGUUUGAAUUUGUUUAGGCUCAUAGGUGAAGACACAGAUUUGGCCUAAUUCACAGAGUCUCUAGGCACUAGAAGAGGAUCUUAAAAUAAAACUUGCAUUUCCGACAUUGAUCUGACACUUGAGGUUAAGUGCUUCUUUCUUAGGAAAUGCAAGAUCAAAGACAAUGAAAUGACAGAAAAAAAAAUAUAUACUCAGAGCAUCAUUCUUUUUUUCUUUUUAGUUUAGAAGCCACUCCUCAUCCCAGGAGAGCUGAGCAGCAAAAUUACGAGAAAAAUAGCUUCCUUGUGCCCAUUAAGCUGUCUUUUGUUUUCUUUUGAUGACCAAUGAGAAUCUUGUUCAUUAAAAUUGUAUGGAUGCC